This 101-nucleotide non-coding RNA is filed under the name Ureibacillus massiliensis. RNAcentral's name for it is "Lysinibacillus massiliensis Guanine sequence". It matches the Rfam family "Purine riboswitch aptamer". Rfam says of the family: Riboswitches are metabolite binding domains within certain messenger RNAs that serve as precision sensors for their corresponding targets. RNAcentral also lists the same sequence under 1 other name. Lineage: Bacteria; Bacillati; Bacillota; Bacilli; Caryophanales; Caryophanaceae. The record is from RNAcentral.
AUAGUAACGAUAGGCUGCCUUCAUAUAAAUCUGAUAAUCUGGUUCGGAUGUUUCUACUAAGUUACCUUAAUAACUUAUCUAUGAGGGCGGGUACUGUUGUG